RNAcentral lists this unclassified non-coding RNA (329 nucleotides) under soil metagenome. RNAcentral's name for it is "partial contains 5.8S ribosomal RNA, internal transcribed spacer 2, and large subunit ribosomal RNA". The stretch from base 1 to 120 matches the Rfam family "5.8S ribosomal RNA", at positions 35 to 154 of the family's 154-position model. The record is from RNAcentral.
GAUGAAGAACGUAGCGAAAUGCGAUAAGUAAUGUGAAUUGCAGAAUUCAGUGAAUCAUCGAAUCUUUGAACGCACAUUGCGCCCCUUGGUAUUCCGAGGGGCAUGCCUGUUCGAGCGUCAUUAUAACCCCUCAAGCUCAGCUUGGUGUUGGGGCCUGCUGCACUGGCAGCCCUUAAAAUCAGUGGCGGCGCCAUCUGGCUCUAAGCGUAGUAAUUCUUCUCGCUAUGGAGUCCUGGUGGAUGCUUGCCAUCAACCCCCAAUUUUUCUAUGGUUGACCUCGGAUCAGGUAGGGAUACCCGCUGAACUUAAGCAUAUCAAUAAGCGAAGGA